RNAcentral lists this ribosomal RNA (852 nucleotides) under Triticum aestivum (bread wheat). RNAcentral's name for it is "partial small subunit ribosomal RNA". Lineage: Eukaryota; Viridiplantae; Streptophyta; Magnoliopsida; Poales; Poaceae. The record is from RNAcentral.
AUGGGAAAGCUGGAAGCGUCGGUUGCGAUGCUCGCCCUUGCCUUGGUUCUUGGCCUCGUGUCCGGCGGCAACUUUUACGACGAAUGCGACGCUACGUGGGAGCCCCAGAACUGCUGGACCUACGACGGCGGCAACAGCCUCUCCCUCGCCCUCGUCAGCAACUCCUCAGGCUCGAUGAUCAGGUCCAAGAGGCAGUUCAUAUAUGGAACAGUGUCGACCAUGAUCCAGCUCGUCAAGGGCGACUCCGCUGGCACCGUCACGACGUACUACACAUCGUCGGUAGGGGAUGACCACGACGAGAUCGACUUCGAGUUCCUGGGGAACGAGACGGGGCAGCCCUACACGCUGCACACCAACGUCUAUGCCGCCGGCGUCGGCGACAAAGAGAUGCAGUUCCGCCCCUGGUUCGACCCCACCGACGGCUACCACAACUACACCAUCUCCUGGACGCCCUGCACGAUCGCCUGGUACGUCGACGGGACGCCCAUCAGGGCGUUCCGCAACUACGAGCACACCCACGGUGUGGCGUUCCCGACGAGCCGCCCCAUGUACGCCUACUCCAGCAUCUGGGCGGCCGAGGACUGGGCCACGCAGGGUGGCCGCGUCAGGGCCGACUGGACCCGCGCGCCCUUCGUUGCCAGCUACCGCGGCAUUGAUCUUGAUGUUUGCGAGUGCUACGGCGGCGACUGCGUCUACACCUGCGCCGGGGCGUUCGGGGGCUGCGGCGGUCUCACCGGCGAACAGCGGGGGAAGAUGCGGUGGGUGCAGCACAACUACAGGAUCUACGACUACUGCGCCGACCGCGAGGGCAGCAAGGUGCCAGGCAUCGAGUGCACCCUGCCGCAGUACUGA